This is a long non-coding RNA of Alligator mississippiensis (American alligator), 4919 nucleotides long. RefSeq lists it as uncharacterized. The record is from RefSeq and is a predicted model, not a curated record. NCBI's taxonomy places the organism in Eukaryota, Metazoa, Chordata, Crocodylia, Alligatoridae. The transcript is spliced from 2 exons.
CACAAGGGGGCAGGCAGAAAGGACAGAGGGCCAGGUGGCAAGAGCAGGGCUCUAGCCAGCCCUGCUUUGUGGGGGACAAAUUUAAGAUGAGAUUCCACUGGUUAGAUUCUGUACAUGAAACAUUAUAACAAAUUCAUAAUUAUCCAGUGUAGAAUCUAAUUAUUGGGGGGCCAUCUUAAAUUUAGGAUCAUCUUGAAUUUGGGUAAAUACAUUAUUGUAAUCCCUUUUCUUUCCCUUCCAGAUCAGGCCUCCAAUUUGGUAAAUAUGUGUGAGUACAGACAUUUCAGCAAAGAGUUGAAGAUAUGCCCUGAGGAUGAUAUCUUGGCUCCACUGAAAUGAAUGGCAGAGCUCCAGUGGGGUAUGGAUCUCACCCAGUGUGUCUAAAGGCCUGUAGCAGAUUUACCUUUCAGAGCUCGGGUUGAAUCCCAGGCUUGAGAUCCUGCUGUUUUGAUUGGUGGAGCCCAUCUACCAAUCAGGAGGCAGCAAGAGAAACAACAUCAUGCCCCUUUUCUGCGGGGAGGGGGAGAAGAGCUCCCUUGGACCUGAUUGAAGACUGUAAACUGUCAGGUCUGGAAGCCUUCAGGGGAGGAGCCCUGGAGCAUAUAAAAGGAGCUGCACGAGGGGCGGAUGUGACAGGGGACUGAGAAGAGAGAAGAGCGGGGUUUAGAAGAGCUGAGGAGAACUGCUCAGCAGGGUGAAGCAGUAGCCCAGGAAGAGCCCCUGAAGACUUCUAUCAGCGGGGAGCGGCGGACGGUUCCAGCAGUUAGGUUCUUGGUUACAGCACAGUGCACAGUGUCCCGACCCUGGGAUCUGCAUGAGGCGGCUCAGGUCUGCAACCUCUGGUGCAUGGUGCACAGGCCGGUGCAUGGAGCAGAAUCUUUGGAGUCCCUGGGGUGGCUCAGGUCCUCAACCCCCAGUAUGAAGCUGGGAGCUCGAUGCAGGAGGCACCGCACGGAGGAUGAGAGACCCUGGGAGCCGCUUGAGGUGGCUCGGGUCUACAGCUGCUGACAUGGGGCAGCAGUUCAGUGCAGACAACGCAGCCCAGAGGGUCCAGGAACAGACCAAGCCCCGGUGCUGCACAAGGCUGUCCAAGCCUCCAACCCCUAGCAUAAGGCGAAGUGUCCACUACACACAGCAGUGCCUGUGGCCCUAGGCCAGGAUGGCUGCAGCAGACUGAGGCAGCAGGAAAACCUGGCGGGGACAGAGCUUGACCUGGAGAACAAGAGGCAACCCUCGAGGACUGUGGAGUAGUAGUACGUUACCCUGGAGAGAGGGUCCCCACAGGGGAGUCCCCUCCCCCCCCAACUGGGUGUGGUAUAUCCGUGUGUGUGUGUGUGUAUGUGUGUGUAUAAUAGGGUUUAUUGUUUUGUAAACUUGUACAUAGAUUAUAUAUAUAUAUAUAUAUAUAUAUAUAUAUAUGUCCUUACCCUUUAAUGGUUUUGUUGUGAUAAUAAAUCUGUAUAUAGUUAAGUAAUUGAUUGACUGGACCUGACUAUAGGGGACGGAGGCGGCCGCUGUGCUGUUGUGUCCCUCCACAGCACACUGCCCUGCCAAUAAUUCCCUCAAUUGGAGAGGGAAGUACAAACCCCUGUACACCUGGGCUACGGGCCUCCUUUGUCUCUGCUCUUUCAGGUAGCUCAAGUUAUCAAAGGGGAGGGGGAUAGGGUAUGAAAAGUCUCCCAGUUGGAUCCCCCAGAGUUUUGCACAGUCCCUCUAAGCUUUGGAUUCUUUCAAAAACUGUUACAGACAGAAAAGUGACUGUAAAAAAAACCCCUGUGAAGUUUUUUACUUUCAAAGUGAUUCCUGAACAAACUUGCUUAGUAUCAAAGUCAAAAGCUCAUUUUUCUUUCUGCUAACUCCUCACUGAGAAUUUGACAUUUGGCUUUUCUGUGUCUUAUAGUCUCUCUAAUAAUAAAAACUUUGCAGUCAGAUGCAGGCCUCAAAAAAAAAAAAUCCUGCGGAGGAUGAUAAAGUUGUGGAAUUUCUGCUAGGAGAGAUUGUUUCUCUCCAAAGCCUUACUCUAUAUUUGGUGCUCUUGGUAUGGAGGGAAAAGGUAAAGCAACAGGCCUAGCUGUUUUCUGUGGAAUUACUCCCACCCCUGUUUGCAUGGACAGUGUCAAGGAAGAUCGCUCAGGUUUCUGCUUAUACUGUGAAUUCCCUUGAUGACGUUUUGGGAACUGUGAUGUGAGGAACCAGCAAGAGGGCAGAUAACGAGGUAGCCAUAGUUGAGGGAAAUCUUUAGAAAGUAAUGCCAAGGUUGUUUCCCCCAGAGUGUUGAGAUACUGAGCAAAUUGAGGGCAGAACCCAGCCAUACCAGGGGCACAAUGGCAGACCUGGUUAAGAGGUUAAACAUAAACUAUUCUGACCCUUAACAGAGCUUUCUGCUGUGUAGGAAAUAGUUUGGCCCCUUGGCAGGAAUGGUAAUAAAAUGGAGAAGACACAAGUCUGAACAGUAUUCAUUUGCCACAUCUGUAAUGUUACUGGAUCAGCAGAGACAGUAGCAGUAGCCAACACUUGGGUUUGUAAGCAAAGUAAAGAAAGAUGCACCAGCAAACAGAUACGUUGUGUAACAAGGUUUUAUUUUUCAGUUGCUUUUCUGAUCAUGAUCAUGCUUUAAAAUCCCUUAAACCAGUUUCAACUGUGUUACUAAUGAUAGGAAAUUCACUUACUGCUUAAUUGCGCCUUUAAUACACAACAAGCGUGUCUACACGUCACCCUACAGUGGCAUAGUGACGUGCUACAUCACCAUACAGUGUGCUACGGUGAGGUAGUGAUCAUGUGUGUCUACAGGUGAUCACCAGCUAUGUCGCCAUAGUGGCGCGCUCCCCAGGUAUAGCGUGGCAUUAUGGCAACAUAGUGGUGAAAUUUAACUGUGCAUUGUGCGAUGCAGUAACUGCCCAUACCGCACCAUGCUUUAGAACUGCUAAAAGGAAGUACUAAAGCACAGCACCACAGCAACAUUGCCGUAUAGCAAUGUGUAGAUGCACCCAACCUGUAGUAAGAGAUGGUAUGAAGCCAUAAGAGCAUAAAAAGGCUACCUAACAGGCAUGGGUCAGCAAUCUACGGCCUGCAGGCCAGGUCUGGCCUGAAAAAAGAGUGGAUCUGGCCCAUGAAGUUCUGAUCCAGUCUGCAGUUUACUAAAGUUGUACCAAUCCCCCGCCAUUUGAUCUGGUCUGUUUCCCUAAUGGCAUGCUGAUUACCUCUGGCUAUUCCAGCCUGGGUUGGAGGGCUGUUCUUCCUCACUGUAGCCUCUACUCAGCACUCUGCUCAGAGCGGCUGUAGGGAAACAGUGCUGGCUGGGUAGCAAGUGCUGGCUGCAGUGCUGGCUGCGUAGCAAGUUGAGGCCCAUGUUAGUAAAAGGUUGCUGACCCCUGCUUUUGGGUGUAGUAUGUGUUUGACAGUGGGCUGAUUACAGGCAAUGGAGCUGUGGCUUUGCUCUUGUCACUCUGGGGGGAAAUUUGAGUGACCACAGGACAACGGUGGUGGGAUUGGUCCCUAGGCAAUGCAGAGACUGCAGUUGCGUCUACCUUCAAAUGGAUGUUGGAAUGAGUGGACUGGGAAACUCCUUGUGCCCUAUACCCUCACUAUGCUCCUUUGUAAAUGCCAGCCACAGCCUGACCUUUAAUAGUUGCAAUGUGAGCCAUGGUAUUUUCUAACUGAAGUCAUGCUAGCAAGCUGAAAGCAAAUUAGAAGUAGUGUAUUGCUUUAAUUACCUCUAUGCAGAAUGAAGUAAUAUGCCUUUGGGAAUAGGGGUGGCUGUGCACUCACAGUGCCAAGUAUGGGAUUUUUUUCAUGUGUUUUUGUGCAGAACUAAUUGCUCUAAUAAUAUAUUUUAAAAAUCAUUCCAUGAUGUGUUCCAUUUAUUAAGAAAUCUGUAGUCAAAAUGCACUGACAAACUAGAGAAUCCUCUGGGAACUAGACACAUCAAAGGUGUUCAAAUGUUACCAAAUACCAAUUGUGAAUUAAAAAUCCAAAGAGGCAAAGCAAAAUCUUUUUUAACUGAACCUGUUGAAGGUGAAGAUUCCAACAUGCUAAAUUUUGGGGUUGUAGUGCUGUAGAAUUCAAGAAGGAUUGGUUGCUAACCAUAAUCAAAGGAAUAAGGUUUCAUUCAAAUUGUACAGCUUUGGGCUGACUGCAGUAUCAUAGCUCCUAUCCACAUUUGACAGGAUAUUUUAACCUUUGCCUUCUCUUUUAAAUUUGUCUUGAAACACAGGUGAGAUUUUCAGCUGGUAUAAAUUAGCAUCAUACCAUUGAAAAUGGAUUUACAUCAGCUGAGGAGAUGACCAAUCUAAAUAAAGAUAUGGGGACUGACUCUGAUCUAACUUACACUCUUUUACAUCACUUUGUUGCUUCCUUUGAUUUCAGUGCAGUAAUUUUCCCUUUACACCAGUGUAGCUGACACCAGAGUAUCCCAUUAUUUUUAGUCUUUACUUUUGCUGAGGCACAAUCAAGCUUAAUAGAUACAAAAAGAAAAUAAUUAAACAACAAAACCCUUGGGAGGUUUGUACUUAAUAACUUCAUUCUCAAAUACCAGAGGCCUUGCUUGGAAUACAAUAGGCCAUAUUUAAAACUAGAGGUGGGUUGAAUUUCAUGUUUAAUAUCUUUUCAAUAAAGGCCCUUAUCCCAUAUGCUUCUCAAUACUAUCUUUUGUUUUGAAAAUCCUUACAUUUUUUACUCUUCAUUUGAUUUUAUAGAAUAGUGUUUGAUUUUUUUUUCAAGUUUGCAGUCACACAUUGACUGUUGAAAAAUGGGAAACAUUGCACAUUUUCCCUAUUUUUGAUAGACAUUUCAAAUAUUUAGCAAUUUGCCACACAGCUCUUUUUUCCCCUAAGUUAGAAAAUGGAAUUGCUGAAAAUCCCUGUCUUUUAAUGUUUCCAUAUACAUGUAUUUCAGUGCAAUAAAAUACACAGUUAAAACUC